UAACUUCUCAGACUUUCCAUGAGGAUUUUCACAAUAGUAUAAAAGGCACAGAUUAAUUGUGGCCAGAUGGGACAUUUGGUUGGUAGAGAACGAUCUCUGUCAGGCAACUAUCCUCCAAACAUCUGUUUGAAUAUUUUCCAAUAAUAAUAUUGUUUCUAACUGAUUGAAUCACUAAAUUCAAUACUGAAUGACUUACUUUACUUGCCUCAACAGCAUGAUACCUUGGACUCAGAUCAACUUCCAGGAGAAGAUGGAAUAGUUUUCUUCUCUGAACCUCAAAGGCCCAAUUCCAGAGCUGAAUUAAAUGUUCUUUACCAGUAAUAUAAACCUAUCAACCAUCUCUAAGAUGUGGACCAAUGACUACCACCAGUAGCUGCUGCUAUCAAUACAUCAGAAAGCAAAAGACCCUGUUGGAAAUUCAUGAUCCAAUAGGUGAGAACAGAGA
RNAcentral lists this long non-coding RNA (445 nucleotides) under Monodelphis domestica (gray short-tailed opossum). RNAcentral describes it as "lncRNA (ENSMODG00000045578.1)". The record is from RNAcentral. Lineage: Eukaryota; Metazoa; Chordata; Mammalia; Didelphimorphia; Didelphidae.